UACGUAGGGGGCAAGCGUUGUCCGGAAUCAUUGGGCGUAAAGAGCGUGUAGGCGGCCCGAUAAGUCCGCUGUGAAAGUCCAGGGCUCAACCCUGGAAUGCCGGUGGAUACUGUGGGGCUAGAGUACGGAAGAGGCGAGUGGAAUUCCUGGUGUAGCGGUGGAAUGCGCAGAUAUCAGGAGGAACACCAAUAGCGAAGGCAGCUCGCUGGGACGUGACUGACGCUGAGACGCGAAAGCGUGGGGAGCAAACAGG
This 253-nucleotide ribosomal RNA is filed under the name uncultured bacterium. RNAcentral's name for it is "partial 16S ribosomal RNA". It matches the Rfam family "Bacterial small subunit ribosomal RNA", at positions 524 to 776 of the family's 1533-position model. The record is from RNAcentral.